GACGAACGCUGGCGGCGUGCUUAACACAUGCAAGUCGAACGGAAAGGCCCUGCUUUUGUUGGGUGCUCGAGUGGCUAACGGUUGAGUAACACGUGAGUAACCUGCCCUUGACUUUGGGAUAACUUCAGGAAACUGGGGCUAAUACCGGAUAGGAGCUCCUGCUGCAUGGUGUGGGUUGGAAAGUUUCGGCGGUUGGGGAUGGACUCGCGGCUUAUGAGCUUGUUGGUGGGGUAGUUGCUUACCAAGGCUUUGACGGGUAGCCGGCCUGAGAGGGUGACCGGCCACAUUGGGACUGAGAUACGGCCCAGACUCCUACGGGAGGAAGCAGUGGGGAAUAGUGCACAAUGGGCGGAAGCCGGAUGCAGCAACGCCGCGUGCGGGAUGACGGCCGUCGGGUUGUAAACCGCUUUCGCCUGUGACGAAGCGUGAGUGACGGUAAUGGGUAAAGAAGCACCGGCUAACUACGUG
Molecule: ribosomal RNA, 468 nt
Filed under: uncultured bacterium
Lineage: Bacteria
Description: partial 16S ribosomal RNA
Rfam family: Bacterial small subunit ribosomal RNA
Source: RNAcentral